ACGUCAUCCACACCGGUCACCAACAUGUCAAACCCAGGUAAGGUUCUUCGCGUUGCGUCGAAUUAAACCACAUGCUCCGCUGCUUGUGCGGGUCCCCGUCAAUUCCUUUGAGUUUUAGCCUUGCGGCCGUACUCCCCAGGCGGGGCACUUAAUGCGUUAGCGCCGGCACGGGAGGAGUCGACACCUCCCACACCUAGUGCCCAUCGUUUACGGCGUGGACUAC
Molecule: unclassified non-coding RNA, 223 nt
Filed under: uncultured Solirubrobacterales bacterium
Lineage: Bacteria; Bacillati; Actinomycetota; Thermoleophilia; Solirubrobacterales
Description: contains 16S-23S intergenic spacer region
Source: RNAcentral